Molecule: long non-coding RNA, 631 nt
Organism: Canis lupus familiaris (dog)
Lineage: Eukaryota; Metazoa; Chordata; Mammalia; Carnivora; Canidae
Exons: 4
Source: RefSeq, a predicted model, not a curated record
UUCCCUUUUAACUUGGAAGUUUUUCAGAUGUAAUCCUGGAUCUUUCUGAACUUCAGGAUCAGCUGAUAAUAUCCAGGAAGAUCUCUUCACCAAUUGAAAACUGACAACAACUUCACACAGUGUAUGAUUUUCUCCUUUCACGUAAAGUAUGUGCAUGUACGCAAAUGAUGUGGCACAGGAAAUAAUGAAAAGGUUGAAAAGGUUGGUGUAUGAAGAGAGAAUACUUGGAGACAUACCUGCUCAUGAACAAAUGAAUCUUAGGUUUUGUUUCUUUACAGAAAGAAAAACACUUUUUGUUAGAACAAGAUAUCACAGAGGAUGAACACCAAGAGGAGGCCAGUCAUAUGCUUGGCUUCCUUAGGCAAACGUUGGCUCAAACACCAAAAUAGUCAAAUCAGAGCUCUUCUUUCAGACCUCUUAACGCUUUGGUUGCAGAUGUUAUCAAGACAUCCACAAAGUAGGCUAUGUUCUUUAGUAUUGGUUACAGAAGCAGAUGUUAAAUUAAUUAAGUCAGUAUAUUUUCCAAGUCUGAUUAAGAUAUGUUUAUUUCUGCUUUCACAAAACAGCUGUGAUGUAAGUACUAAAACUGGUGUUGUAAGAAACCCAAAAUAAAAUUAAAAUCAUUGUAUGU